GAUUCACCCUGGGUGGGUAACUGACUCAGAAGACGUUAUCAGAGCUCUUCUCCAAGACUUAUUCAACAGGAACCAGUGAAGAAGAUCAAUGUCUCUGACAAAAAAACUAUGUGUUGUAAGGCUCGGGGCUCCUCUCUGCCCAUUUUUCCCGCUGAAAGAGGGAAGCUGAUAUAAGAGUGCUGCUGUUCAGAAGUCUGAGCUGGAUGUGUAGUUGGUCAUCGUCAGCAUACAGAGGAUAACUGAAGCCACGUGUGGGAGGGAAGAUCACCAACUGGGACACAGAUGCUGAAAAGAAGGCAGCCAAGAAUGAACUCUGAGAAAAGCCAACAUUUAAGGAGUGGAUACGAGAAGAGGCAUUGUGAGCUAGACUGAAAAGGAAUGGCCAGAGUUUUGCAAAUGUAAUCAGAAGUGCAUCAUGAAAACCAACAAAGGGAGCAGUUUCAACAAAUAGGGAUGAUCAGCAACAACCUAAAAUAUUACAGAGAGAUCUAGCAAUACAAGUAUUUCAAAUUGUUCUUCAGAUGUAACAAUAUAUCCAAGUUACUGCACUUUCUUUAACCUUCUAAGAAAGAUGGCAUGUCGCAAGUUUCUUCGCACCGUGAUCUCGCUGACUUCAGGAGUGAACCUGCAGACCUUCGCA
Homo sapiens (human) is the source of this 640-nucleotide long non-coding RNA. RefSeq lists it as uncharacterized. The transcript is spliced from 3 exons. The record is from RefSeq and is a predicted model, not a curated record. NCBI's taxonomy places the organism in Eukaryota, Metazoa, Chordata, Mammalia, Primates, Hominidae.